This 255-nucleotide ribosomal RNA is filed under the name uncultured bacterium. RNAcentral's name for it is "partial 16S ribosomal RNA". It matches the Rfam family "Bacterial small subunit ribosomal RNA", at positions 524 to 777 of the family's 1533-position model. The record is from RNAcentral.
UACGGAGGGGGCUAGCGUUGUUCGGAAUUACUGGGCGUAAAGCGCGCGUAGGCGGACCUGCAAGUCGGGGGUGAAAGCCCGAGGCUCAACCUCGGAACUGCCUUCGAUACUGCGGGUCUCGAGUCCGGGAGAGGUGAGUGGAAUUCCUAGUGUAGAGGUGAAAAUUCGUAGAUAUUCGGAAGAACACCAGUGGCGAAGGCGGCUCACUGGCCCGGUACUGACGCUGAGGCGCGAAGGCGUGGGGAGCGAACGGGG